Molecule: ribosomal RNA, 249 nt
Filed under: uncultured bacterium
Lineage: Bacteria
Description: partial 16S ribosomal RNA
Rfam family: Bacterial small subunit ribosomal RNA
Source: RNAcentral
CGUGAUCCGGGGCUUGCUCCGGUGAAAGUGGCGGACGGGUGAGUAACGCGUGGGAACCUGCCCAGUGGUCGGGGGUAACUGCGGGAAACUGCAGCUAAUACCCGGUAAGCCCUACGGGGGAAAGAUUUAUCGCCAUUGGAGGGGCCCGCGUCGGAUUAGGUAGUUGGUGGGGUAAAGGCCUACCAAGCCUUCGAUCCGUAGCUGGUCUGAGAGGAUGAUCAGCCACACUGGGACUGAGAUACGGCCCAG